This is a small nucleolar RNA of Mastomys coucha (southern multimammate mouse), 126 nucleotides long. RefSeq annotates it as small nucleolar RNA SNORA17. The record is from RefSeq and is a predicted model, not a curated record. Lineage: Eukaryota; Metazoa; Chordata; Mammalia; Rodentia; Muridae. The transcript has a single exon.
CCUGCCCCUAGGAACAUUGCAGGUGUGGCUGCUAUGUCACAUCAGUAGGUGGCAGAGAGGAGAGAGGCUAUGUCUAUGUUGAGUGUUCUGAUUUAUGAACAGCUGAAUGUUUUGUAGCCUAAGAGU